Molecule: ribosomal RNA, 412 nt
Filed under: uncultured Desulfocapsa sp.
Lineage: Bacteria; Pseudomonadati; Thermodesulfobacteriota; Desulfobulbia; Desulfobulbales; Desulfocapsaceae
Description: bacterial SSU rRNA
Rfam family: Bacterial small subunit ribosomal RNA
Source: RNAcentral
UUACCUGGUCUUGACAUCUCGGGAAUCAUUUGGAAACAUAUGAGUGCCUCGCAAGAGGAGCCGAUGACAGGUGCUGCAUGGCUGUCGUCAGCUCGUGUCGUGAGAUGUUGGGUUAAGUCCCGCAACGAGCGCAACCCUUGUCUUUAGUUGCCAUCAUUAAGUUGGGCACUCUAAAGAGACUGCCGGUGUCAAACCGGAGGAAGGUGGGAUGACGUCAAGUCCUCAUGGCCUUUAUGUCUAGGGCUACACACGUACUACAAUGGCCGGUACAAAGGGCAGCCACUCAGCGAUGAGGCGCUAAUCCCAUAAAGCCGGUCUCAGUCCGGAUCGCAGUCUGCAACUCGACUGCGUGAAGUUGGAAUCGCUAGUAAUCGUGGAUCAGCAUGCCACGGUGAAUACGUUCCCGGGCCUU